CCAAAAUCAUGCAUAUAUCAUC
This 22-nucleotide unclassified non-coding RNA is filed under the name Caenorhabditis elegans. Its description in RNAcentral is "SL1 trans-spliced leader sequence". The record is from RNAcentral. Lineage: Eukaryota; Metazoa; Nematoda; Chromadorea; Rhabditida; Rhabditidae.